RNAcentral lists this ribosomal RNA (543 nucleotides) under Bifidobacterium pseudocatenulatum. RNAcentral describes it as "bacterial SSU rRNA". It matches the Rfam family "Bacterial small subunit ribosomal RNA", at positions 157 to 711 of the family's 1533-position model. Lineage: Bacteria; Bacillati; Actinomycetota; Actinomycetes; Bifidobacteriales; Bifidobacteriaceae. The record is from RNAcentral.
CGGGUGGUAAUGCCGGAUGCUCCGACUCCUCGCAUGGGGUGUCGGGAAAGAUUUCAUCGGUAUGGGAUGGGGUCGCGUCCUAUCAGGUAGUCGGCGGGGUAACGGCCCACCGAGCCUACGACGGGUAGCCGGCCUGAGAGGGCGACCGGCCACAUUGGGACUGAGAUACGGCCCAGACUCCUACGGGAGGCAGCAGUGGGGAAUAUUGCACAAUGGGCGCAAGCCUGAUGCAGCGACGCCGCGUGCGGGAUGACGGCCUUCGGGUUGUAAACCGCUUUUGAUCGGGAGCAAGCCUUCGGGUGAGUGUACCUUUCGAAUAAGCACCGGCUAACUACGUGCCAGCAGCCGCGGUAAUACGUAGGGUGCAAGCGUUAUCCGGAAUUAUUGGGCGUAAAGGGCUCGUAGGCGGUUCGUCGCGUCCGGUGUGAAAGUCCAUCGCUUAACGGUGGAUCUGCGCCGGGUACGGGCGGGCUGGAGUGCGGUAGGGGAGACUGGAAUUCCCGGUGUAACGGUGGAAUGUGUAGAUAUCGGAAAAAAACACCA